This 2916-nucleotide ribosomal RNA is filed under the name Pseudomonas orientalis. RNAcentral describes it as "bacterial LSU rRNA". It matches the Rfam family "Bacterial large subunit ribosomal RNA". The record is from RNAcentral. Lineage: Bacteria; Pseudomonadati; Pseudomonadota; Gammaproteobacteria; Pseudomonadales; Pseudomonadaceae.
GUUAUAUGGUCAAGUGAAGAAGCGCAUACGGUGGAUGCCUUGGCAGUCAGAGGCGAUGAAAGACGUGGUAGCCUGCGAAAAGCUUCGGGGAGUCGGCAAACAGACUUUGAUCCGGAGAUGUCUGAAUGGGGGAACCCAGCCAUCAUAAGAUGGUUACCUUACACUGAAUACAUAGGUGUAUGGAGCGAACCAGGGGAACUGAAACAUCUAAGUACCCUGAGGAAAAGAAAUCAACCGAGAUUCCCUUAGUAGUGGCGAGCGAACGGGGACUAGCCCUUAAGUGGCUUUGAGAUUAGCGGAACGCUCUGGAAAGUGCGGCCAUAGUGGGUGAUAGCCCUGUACGCGAAAAUCUCUUAGUCAUGAAAUCGAGUAGGACGGAGCACGAGAAACUUUGUCUGAAUAUGGGGGGACCAUCCUCCAAGGCUAAAUACUACUGACUGACCGAUAGUGAACUAGUACCGUGAGGGAAAGGCGAAAAGAACCCCGGAGAGGGGAGUGAAAUAGAUCCUGAAACCGUAUGCGUACAAGCAGUGGGAGCCCACUUUGUUGGGUGACUGCGUACCUUUUGUAUAAUGGGUCAGCGACUUAUUUUCAGUGGCGAGCUUAACCGAAUAGGGGAGGCGUAGCGAAAGCGAGUCUUAAUAGGGCGUCUAGUCGCUGGGAAUAGACCCGAAACCGGGCGAUCUAUCCAUGGGCAGGUUGAAGGUUGGGUAACACUAACUGGAGGACCGAACCGACUACCGUUGAAAAGUUAGCGGAUGACCUGUGGAUCGGAGUGAAAGGCUAAUCAAGCUCGGAGAUAGCUGGUUCUCCUCGAAAGCUAUUUAGGUAGCGCCUCAUGUAUCACUGUAGGGGGUAGAGCACUGUUUCGGCUAGGGGGUCAUCCCGACUUACCAAACCGAUGCAAACUCCGAAUACCUACAAGUGCCGAGCAUGGGAGACACACGGCGGGUGCUAACGUCCGUCGUGAAAAGGGAAACAACCCAGACCGUCAGCUAAGGUCCCAAAGUUAUGGUUAAGUGGGAAACGAUGUGGGAAGGCUUAGACAGCUAGGAGGUUGGCUUAGAAGCAGCCACCCUUUAAAGAAAGCGUAAUAGCUCACUAGUCGAGUCGGCCUGCGCGGAAGAUGUAACGGGGCUCAAACCAUACACCGAAGCUACGGGUAUCACGUAAGUGAUGCGGUAGAGGAGCGUUCUGUAAGCCUGUGAAGGUGAGUUGAGAAGCUUGCUGGAGGUAUCAGAAGUGCGAAUGCUGACAUGAGUAACGACAAUGGGUGUGAAAAACACCCACGCCGAAAGACCAAGGUUUCCUGCGCAACGUUAAUCGACGCAGGGUUAGUCGGUCCCUAAGGCGAGGCUGAAAAGCGUAGUCGAUGGAAAACAGGUUAAUAUUCCUGUACUUCUGGUUAUUGCGAUGGAGGGACGGAGAAGGCUAGGCCAGCUUGGCGUUGGUUGUCCAAGUUUAAGGUGGUAGGCUGGAAUCUUAGGUAAAUCCGGGAUUCUAAGGCCGAGAGCUGAUGACGAGUCGUCUUUUAGACGACGAAGUGGUUGAUGCCAUGCUUCCAAGAAAAGCUUCUAAGCUUCAGGUAACCAGGAACCGUACCCCAAACCGACACAGGUGGUUGGGUAGAGAAUACCAAGGCGCUUGAGAGAACUCGGGUGAAGGAACUAGGCAAAAUGGCACCGUAACUUCGGGAGAAGGUGCGCCGGUGAGGGUGAAGGACUUGCUCCGUAAGCUCAUGCCGGUCGAAGAUACCAGGCCGCUGCGACUGUUUAUUAAAAACACAGCACUCUGCAAACACGAAAGUGGACGUAUAGGGUGUGACGCCUGCCCGGUGCCGGAAGGUUAAUUGAUGGGGUUAGCUAACGCGAAGCUCUUGAUCGAAGCCCCGGUAAACGGCGGCCGUAACUAUAACGGUCCUAAGGUAGCGAAAUUCCUUGUCGGGUAAGUUCCGACCUGCACGAAUGGCGUAACGAUGGCGGCGCUGUCUCCACCCGAGACUCAGUGAAAUUGAAAUCGCUGUGAAGAUGCAGUGUAUCCGCGGCUAGACGGAAAGACCCCGUGAACCUUUACUAUAGCUUUGCACUGGACUUUGAAUUUGCUUGUGUAGGAUAGGUGGGAGGCUUUGAAGCGUGGACGCCAGUUCGCGUGGAGCCAACCUUGAAAUACCACCCUGGCAACUUUGAGGUUCUAACUCAGGUCCGUUAUCCGGAUCGAGGACAGUGUAUGGUGGGUAGUUUGACUGGGGCGGUCUCCUCCUAAAGAGUAACGGAGGAGUACGAAGGUGCGCUCAGACCGGUCGGAAAUCGGUCGUAGAGUAUAAAGGCAAAAGCGCGCUUGACUGCGAGACAGACACGUCGAGCAGGUACGAAAGUAGGUCUUAGUGAUCCGGUGGUUCUGUAUGGAAGGGCCAUCGCUCAACGGAUAAAAGGUACUCCGGGGAUAACAGGCUGAUACCGCCCAAGAGUUCAUAUCGACGGCGGUGUUUGGCACCUCGAUGUCGGCUCAUCACAUCCUGGGGCUGAAGCCGGUCCCAAGGGUAUGGCUGUUCGCCAUUUAAAGUGGUACGCGAGCUGGGUUUAGAACGUCGUGAGACAGUUCGGUCCCUAUCUGCCGUGGACGUUUGAGAUUUGAGAGGGGCUGCUCCUAGUACGAGAGGACCGGAGUGGACGAACCUCUGGUGUUCCGGUUGUCACGCCAGUGGCAUUGCCGGGUAGCUAUGUUCGGAAUAGAUAACCGCUGAAAGCAUCUAAGCGGGAAACUAGCCUCAAGAUGAGAUCUCACUGGAACCUUGAGUUCCCUGAAGGGCCGUCGAAGACUACGACGUUGAUAGGUUGGGUGUGUAAGCGCUGUGAGGCGUUGAGCUAACCAAUACUAAUUGCCCGUGAGGCUUGACCAUAUAACACCCAAGCAAUU